UUGUAAAGCUCUUUUGUCAGGGACGAUAAUGACGGUACCUGACGAAUAAGCUCCGGCUAACUUCGUGCCAGCAGCCGCGGUAAUACGAAGGGAGCUAGCGUUGUUCGGAAUUACUGGGCGUAAAGGGCGCGUAGGCGGUCUUAUAAGUUUGGUGUGAAAGCCCUGGGCUUAACCUAGGAAUAGCAUUGGAUACUGUAAGACUUGAGACCGAGAGAGGGAAAUGGAAUUGCGAGUGUAGAGGUGAAAUUCGUAGAUAUUCGCAAGAACACCAGUGGCGAAGGCGAUUUCCUGGCUCGGUACUGACGCUAAGGCGCGAAAGCGUGGGGAGCAAACAGGAUUAGAUACCCUGGUAGUCCACGCUGUAAACGAUGAAUGCUAGAUGUUGGGGAUUAAAAUCUUCAGUGUCGUCGCUAACGCAAUAAGCAUUCCGCCUGGGGAGUACGGUCGCAAG
RNAcentral lists this ribosomal RNA (451 nucleotides) under uncultured Alphaproteobacteria bacterium. RNAcentral's name for it is "bacterial SSU rRNA". It matches the Rfam family "Bacterial small subunit ribosomal RNA", at positions 423 to 892 of the family's 1533-position model. The record is from RNAcentral. Lineage: Bacteria; Pseudomonadati; Pseudomonadota; Alphaproteobacteria.